CGUGUCCUGUAGUGGGGGAUAGCCCGGCGAAAGCCGGAUUAAUACCGCAUACGCUCUACGGAGGAAAGGGGGGGAUCUUAGGACCUCCCGCUACAGGGGCGGCCGAUGGCAGAUUAGCUAGUUGGUGGGGUAAAGGCCUACCAAGGCGACGAUCUGUAGCUGGUCUGAGAGGACGACCAGCCACACUGGGACUGAGACACGGCCCAGACUCCUACGGGAGGCAGCAGUGGGGAAUUUUGGACAAUGGGGGCAACCCUGAUCCAGCAAUGCCGCGUGUGUGAAGAAGGCCUUCGGGUUGUAAAGCACUUUUGUCCGGAAAGAAAACGCCGUGGUUAAUACCCGUGGCGGAUGACGGUACCGGAAGAAUAAGCACCGGCUAACUACGUGCCAGCAGCCGCGGUAAUACGUAGGGUGCAAGCGUUAAUCGGAAUUACUGGGCGUAAAGCGUGCGCAGGCGGUCCGCUAAGACAGAUGUGAAAUCCCCGGGCUUAACCUG
Molecule: ribosomal RNA, 496 nt
Filed under: Burkholderia sp. LC9
Lineage: Bacteria; Pseudomonadati; Pseudomonadota; Betaproteobacteria; Burkholderiales; Burkholderiaceae
Description: bacterial SSU rRNA
Rfam family: Bacterial small subunit ribosomal RNA
Source: RNAcentral